AACGCUAGCUACAGGCUUAACACAUGCAAGUCGAGGGGCAGCAUGGUCUUAGCUUGCUAAGGCCGAUGGCGACCGGCGCACGGGUGAGUAACACGUAUCCAACCUGCCGUCUACUCUUGGACAGCCUUCUGAAAGGAAGAUUAAUACAAGAUGGCAUCAUGAGUCCGCAUGUUCACAUGAUUAAAGGUAUUCCGGUAGACGAUGGGGAUGCGUUCCAUUAGAUAGUAGGCGGGGUAACGGCCCACCUAGUCUUCGAUGGAUAGGGGUUCUGAGAGGAAGGUCCCCCACAUUGGAACUGAGACACGGUCCAAACUCCUACGGGAGGCAGCAGUGAGGAAUAUUGGUCAAUGGGCGAGAGCCUGAACCAGCCAAGUAGCGUGAAGGAUGACUGCCCUAUGGGUUGUAAACUUCUUUUAUAAAGGAAUAAAGUCGGGUAUGGAUACCCGUUUGCAUGUACUUUAUGAAUAAGGAUCGGCUAACUCCGUGCCAGCAGCCGCGGUAAUACGGAGGAUCCGAGCGUUAUCCGGAUUUAUUGGGUUUAAAGGGAGCGUACAUGGAUGUUUAAGUCAGUUGUGAAAGUUUGCGGCUCAACCGUAAAAUUGCAGUUGAUACUGGAUAUCUUGAGUGCAGUUGAGGCAGGCGGAAUUCGUGGUGUAGCGGUGAAAUGCUUAGAUAUCACGAAGAACUCCGAUUGCGAAGGCAGCCUGCUAAGUUGCAACUGACAUUGAGGCUCGAAAGUGUGGGGUAUCAAACAGGAUUAGAUACCCUGGUAGUCCACACGGUAAACGAUGAAUACUCGCUGUUUGCGAUAUACAGCAAGCGGCCAAGCGAAAGCGUUAAGUAUUCCACCUGGGGAGUACGCCGGCAACGGUGAAACUCAAAGGAAUUGACGGGGGCCCGCACAAGCGGAGGAACAUGUGGUUUAAUUCGAUGAUACGCGAGGAACCUUACCCGGGCUUAAAUUGCAGAUGAAUUACGGUGAAAGCCGUAAGCCGCAAGGCAUCUGUGAAGGUGCUGCAUGGUUGUCGUCAGCUCGUGCCGUGAGGUGUCGGCUUAAGUGCCAUAACGAGCGCAACCCUUGUUGUCAGUUACUAACAGGUUCCGCUGAGGACUCUGACAAGACUGCCAUCGUAAGAUGUGAGGAAGGUGGGGAUGACGUCAAAUCAGCACGGCCCUUACGUCCGGGGCUACACACGUGUUACAAUGGGGGGUACAGAGGGCCGCUACCACGCGAGUGGAUGCCAAUCCCAAAAACCUCUCUCAGUUCGGACUGGAGUCUGCAACCCGACUCCACGAAGCUGGAUUCGCUAGUAAUCGCGCAUCAGCCACGGCGCGGUGAAUACGUUCCCGGGCCUUGUACACACCGCCCGUCAAGCCAUGGGAGCCGGGGGUACAAGAAGUGCGUAACCGCGAGGAGCGCCCUAGGGUAAAACUA
Molecule: ribosomal RNA, 1435 nt
Filed under: uncultured bacterium
Lineage: Bacteria
Description: bacterial SSU rRNA
Rfam family: Bacterial small subunit ribosomal RNA
Source: RNAcentral